CAAUCUUUCCCUCUUUCUGCCUCAGCUUCCGCCAAGAACUUCUUACCUGGGCAUGUAUUUCUAUCCUAUUCACUUUUUACUCUCUGGCGUGGAACUUCUUCCUACCAAACUGUCAUCCUCUGCACCUCUCCUGGCCUUCCUCACAAGUUUGUAAGCAUUAAGAAGCUACCAUGAAAGUCUUGCUAUGAAGUAACUGGCAAAACUAGAGACACCGACUGGCUUCCUCUCAAAGGCUCGGCGUGCCCACAGUGGAGGACGGGAAGCAUUCUCCAAUCCGAAAAGUCUGGAACGCUGUGGCAACUAUUUUGCUCAGGGCAGGCAGAAGACGGUGGUUCUUUGGUACAUUCCCCUUCUUACUGAGCUUCGUUUACUGAGGCUUCUCCUCAACACGCCAGGAUCCAGCAUGUAUAACACCUUUGGAGUGGGCUGUCUCGGGGCUGAGGAGCGAAACGGGGGGCUGGUUAUGGAGUUCCAGCAUGGGGUUACUUAGCUCGCCCAGACUUGGAAACCAGCCAGCGUGAUGAGGACAGGUAGUGGACGCGAUUGCCCACCCCUUGUUAAUGUGUUAGGAUUAAACAGACAAACGGGCCCGCACACCGCCUGCCCCAUUCUAGCCCGCCUUAAUUCUGG
RNAcentral lists this long non-coding RNA (630 nucleotides) under Homo sapiens (human). RNAcentral's name for it is "non-protein coding lnc-SYNRG-6:2". Lineage: Eukaryota; Metazoa; Chordata; Mammalia; Primates; Hominidae. The record is from RNAcentral.